GGGCAGGUGCUGGAGCGGUCAAUCAGGGUAGGCUGUAAACCUACUGCCUUAACGGCUACGGGGGUUCGAAUCCCUCCCUGCCCA
This 84-nucleotide transfer RNA is filed under the name bacterium. Its description in RNAcentral is "tRNA-Tyr". It matches the Rfam family "tRNA". Rfam says of the family: Transfer RNA (tRNA) molecules are approximately 80 nucleotides in length. Their secondary structure includes four short double-helical elements and three loops (D, anti-codon, and T loops). The record is from RNAcentral.